This 200-nucleotide unclassified non-coding RNA is filed under the name Humicola sp. RNAcentral describes it as "partial internal transcribed spacer 2". Lineage: Eukaryota; Fungi; Ascomycota; Sordariomycetes; Sordariales; Chaetomiaceae. The record is from RNAcentral.
UUAAGUUCAGCGGGUCUUCCUACCUGAUCCGAGGUCAACCUUGGGUAAAUAAGGCUUUUUAACGGCCGGAACCCGCAGCACGCCCUGAGCGAGAUGUAUUACUACGCUCGGAGUGACUAGCGAGCCCGCCACUGGUUUCAGGGCCUGCGGCAGCCGCAGGUCCCCAACACCAAGCCCGGGGGCUUGAGGGUUGAAAGUGA